Molecule: ribosomal RNA, 422 nt
Filed under: uncultured bacterium
Lineage: Bacteria
Description: bacterial SSU rRNA
Rfam family: Bacterial small subunit ribosomal RNA
Source: RNAcentral
CGAAUCAUUCACAAUGGGCGAAAGCCUGAUGGUGCGACGCCGCGUGAGGGAUGAAGGUCUUCGGAUUGUAAACCUCUGUCACUGGGGAGAAAACGCUUCAAUUUAACAGACUGAAGCCUGAUUUAACCCGGAGAGGAAGCAGUGGCUAACUCUGUGCCAGCAGCCGCGGUAAUACGUAGGUGGCAAGCGUUGUCCGGAUUUACUGGGCGUAAAGAGCGCGCAGGCGGUCGAUUUAGUCGCGUGUGAAAGCCCCCGGCUCAACUGGGGAGGGUCACGCGAUACUGAUCGACUCGAAGGCAGGAGAGGGUAGUGGAAUUCCCGGUGUAGUGGUGAAAUGCGUAGAUAUCGGGAGGAACACCAGUGGCGAAGGCGACUACCUGGCCUGUUCUUGACGCUGAGGCGCGAAAGCUAGGGGAGCAAAC